GAUGAACGCUGGCGGCGUGCCUAACACAUGCAAGUCGAACGGAAAGACGAUGAGCUUGUGCCGUUGACGUUAGCGGCGGACGGGUGAGUAACACGUGGAUCACCUACUUGUAUGUCGGGGAUAAUUACGGAAAACCGGAUAAAAUACCGGAGAAUAUAUUGAACCGCAGGGGGCAAUAGAGAAUGACGGCUUUGGGGGCUGUAAUAGAGGGUUCCGCGCUGGAUUGUCGAGUGGGUAAGGUAACGGCCUACCAAGGCUACGAUGCGUAGCCGAGGUGAGGGGCUGAUCGGCCACACUGGAACUGAGCCACGGUCCAGACUCCUACGGGAGGCAGCAGUAGGGAAUCGUCCGCAAUGGGCGAAAGCCUGACGGAGCCACGCCGCGUGAGUGAUGAAGGCCUUCGGAUCGUAAAGCCCUGUUAUUAGGGAAGAACAGCUGUGUAAGUAGCUAUGGCCGUCUUGACGGUACCUAAUCAGAAAGCCCCGGCUAACUACGUG
This 497-nucleotide ribosomal RNA is filed under the name uncultured bacterium. RNAcentral describes it as "partial 16S ribosomal RNA". It matches the Rfam family "Bacterial small subunit ribosomal RNA", at positions 28 to 507 of the family's 1533-position model. The record is from RNAcentral.